GAGUUUGAUCCUGGCUCAGAAUCAACGCUGGCGGCGUGCCUAACACAUGCAAGUCGAACGAGAAAGUGGAGCAAUCCAUGAGUAAAGUGGCGCACGGGUGAGUAACACGUGACUAACCUACCCUUGAGUGGGGAAUAACCUCGGGAAACCGGGGCUAAUACCGCAUAAUACCUUCGGGUCAAAGGAGCAAUUCGCUUAAGGAGGGGGUCGCGGCUGAUUAGCUAGUUGGUGGGGUAAUGGCCUACCAAGGCAAUGAUCAGUAUCCGGCCUGAGAGGGCGCACGGACACACUGGAACUGAAACACGGUCCAGACUCCUACGGGAGGCAGCAGUGGGGAAUUUUGCACAAUGGGGGAAACCCUGAUGCAGCAACGCCGCGUGGAGGAUGAAGUCCCUUGGGAUGUAAACUCCUUUCGACCGGGACGAUAAUGACGGUACCGGUGGAAGAAGCCCCGGCUAACUCUGUGCCAGCAGCCGCAGUAAC
RNAcentral lists this ribosomal RNA (483 nucleotides) under uncultured bacterium. Its description in RNAcentral is "bacterial SSU rRNA". It matches the Rfam family "Bacterial small subunit ribosomal RNA", at positions 9 to 524 of the family's 1533-position model. The record is from RNAcentral.